RNAcentral lists this ribosomal RNA (253 nucleotides) under uncultured bacterium. RNAcentral describes it as "partial 16S ribosomal RNA". It matches the Rfam family "Bacterial small subunit ribosomal RNA", at positions 524 to 776 of the family's 1533-position model. The record is from RNAcentral.
UACGGAGGGUGCAAGCGUUGUCCGGAUUUAUUGGGUUUAAAGGGUGCGAAGGCGGCAACUUCAGUCAGGGGUGAAAUCCCACAGCUCAACUGUGGAACUGCCUUUGAUACUGGGUUGCUUGAGUACAGACGAGGUAGGCGGAAUUUAUGGUGUAGCGGUGAAAUGCAUAGAUACCAUAAAGAACACCGAUAGCGAAGGCAGCUUACUGGACUGUCACUGACGCUCAUGCACGAAAGCGUGGGGAGCGAACAGG